AGAAAAUUGGAGAACAAAAAGAGGAGAGAGCGAAGAGUUGAUUGCAUAUCUUAGAGAGUUCUGGAGCCUUUAAUUUAUAAUAGAGGAGUUUGAGAUGUAUCCAUCUGAGUCCUGACGGUUUCUGGAUUUAUCGUAUAGAUAGAUUCGGAGGAGAACUUUUUUUUUAUGAGAGAUUUAAUUACAGAGGAAUCCUACCUUAUCUGGACC
Molecule: long non-coding RNA, 207 nt
Filed under: Elaeis guineensis (African oil palm)
Lineage: Eukaryota; Viridiplantae; Streptophyta; Magnoliopsida; Arecales; Arecaceae
Description: long non-coding RNA (EGUI_LNC035782)
Source: RNAcentral